GCUUGAAGAAGUAGCAGGACGGGACGCGGGAGGUGGCAGCGGUGGGACCGGCAGGCGGUGGGGGGUGCCAGGAGUGGGCGCCGAGUCCGCCGUCACUUGACUCGCAGAAAAUCCCAGGAGAGAGGGUUGGGGGCAACGUGGGCGUCCUCGAGUGGGCGGCGGCGGGCGGAAAGUGGCGCGAGCGCCGAGCGACGGGGCUGUGGGGGGGAGGGGAGCUGCAGUUUGAGCGGGACGCGGACGCGCUGCGGCGGGGCGGCCGCCGCCCAGCGGAUCUGUCAGCAGGACCCCCCGCCCGGGCCGGGGGCUGGGCGCGGCGGGGUCUCGGCCGCCGUCACCGCCUGACAGGAGGGAGGGGACGCGCGCCCUCCCCCCACGUCCCGAACCGAGUCGCCUUUUCUCGCAGUUUUCCCGGCCCGCUGAUGGCCGCCUUCUCUUGACAAGAAACUUAAGGUCGACGGAAAAUUCAGGACCCAGAGUCCUGGGUGUCUGCGGUCUGUCGCGACCGACAGUGCCCCGGCCCGGCGGCACUCGGACGUUUAGAUGGCCGUCUCCUGACGCUAAAGCUUGAGGUGCCCGGGGCCGGAGAGUUUCGCUGCCUUCGCCGCCCUCCCCCUGCGCGCUUCCGUCCCGGUGCGGUCUUUUUAGUCUUUGAGACAUUUGCAAGGGGAAAAAGCGACCUGUGAAACUGUUUUGAUGUUUUCCUCCCGAAAAGUCUGUACCCGGACAACUUAACGCUGGUGGAUUCUAUCAAAUCUUACUCGAUAACUCUUGAACGAUAUAAGCCAACGACGGUUUUAACUUCAGGUAUCACAAUAUGGAUAAUGGCCUUUGUAAAAAUCGCGCAUUAAAGAUCUUUUAGAUCUUGGAUCCUUUUCUGCGCUGAAGGCAUCGCUAGAUUAACCCUUUACUGGGAUGAUUUGCGUGUGGGGUGAGCGGCGUUGGCUGCAAAUCUUGGAGAGAUGGUUUUAGCAGUAGCUGUUCAAUUGUUCGCAAAGAGGAAUAGCGCUUCCUUGGAACCGCAGAGACACACGCUUUAGGACUGCCUGCCUGCAGGACCCCCCGCCCCCGCCCCGAUAGGGUGGAAGGAUCGAUUGAUUUCUUAUUUCUUUUGAAGACUGGGGGACCCGCCCUCACUUAGAAUCUUUCCGGGAGAAGACCAGGAGAGCGCAAAAUGAAGUUUUUCGAAUUGUGUCUAACGGAGCUCCCAAAACACCGGACUUUUACCCCCUGAUUGGCUGGAAGGAAGCGGGACUGGGGGGUUUGAAUGUUGAACGCUAGAUUAUAAUUCUCAACUUUCCGAAAAAUUAUACUUUUAGUUAGAGAACCACGGAAAUAAUUACAAAACGUUAAGACGGAUAGUUUAAAAGAAAAAGUUGGUGUUUAAUAAUUUCUUAACUUCCAUAAAAGACUUUCGGAUAGUUCUGAAAUAUGUAUUAAAACUGGAGAAGUUAUUUUCACAAAAUUGUAUUUCUGCUGGUUGAAAUGACAAGACUUUUAUAUAUUUGCCCCUGUUCUUUAUUGCCUAAAAACUCAGUAAAGGAUUUAGGGAUUCUUUUUUCCUGUAAUAGAAACUUUUCUCCUUAAACUGCGUGUAUUUGUUGGAUGCAGGUUACGGGAAAAAUGUUUCUUUCAUUUUGAUGAAAAGAAACUUUAAUUUUCUUAAUGCUAACAAAUGAUCUUUUCCACAUUUUCAAUUAAAAUUGGAUAUAUUUUGAAAACUUUUGUAUCUAACCUAAAAUGUGUAGGUUUUGCUAAUUCGUCCAUUGCAGUGGACUUGAAACUUGGGUAUACAAGACAUUUAUGUUUCUUAAUCUAGGUAAUACAACAGGUAAGUGUGUACAGGUGCGUAUAUGUGACGUUACUUUGGGAGUUAAUUAUGAAGAAAUGUGUACAACAAAAUGAAUGUGUUGUCAUUUACAUGAUUGGUUUUCAGUUGAUUUUGUUUAAAGUUGCUUGAGACAACCGUCAAUACAUUUUUAUUUAUUACCAAGCUUGUCAUUCCAUUUAAUUGCAUCUUGAUAAGAUGCGGGUGUGUUUUUCAAAGAAAGGCAGUAAAUUCAACAAUAAACAGCUGUGAAUGCCUUUAAAAAUAAUUUUUACUUUAAUAGAAGUUUAUAUCCUUUUAUGAAUAGUUCAAAUUUUGAAACUUAGCUUGUAUUUUCACAUUGGAUCAAAUACACAUUGUUAGAAAAUAUUCAGAUUAAAAGAGCUUUUGACUUUUAAAUCUAUAGGGUUUUAAAUGCAAAUUGUUAAUAAGUCAGAUAACUAUGUUUAUAAAUAAUAAUAUUUUUGUAUUGCCUUCAAAGCAUGAAAUGUGAUUUCAGAGCCCAUGGUCACUACUUUUUUUCAGAACUAUUUAUUUUGGAUUACCUUGUGAAAAUUUCACAAAAGGUGGUAAUUAAUCUCUAUAAAAUUUGAUUUAAUGGAAUUGUGCAUCUCAUUUCUGUUUAAAUGUAGUUACACCUAGACUACCAGAAGUAGGAGUUUUGCUUUUUACUUUUUUUUAAUUUUAUAUUUUAAUUUUCAUUCAAAUUGUGACUGAGUUUUUUGAGGGGGGAGGCUUUAAGCUCCAUCAGGCUGAUUAAAUUUAAUCAUACUUCUUUAAUGUAUUAGUUUAUGGGAUUUUUUGGUUUGUUUUGGAGGUGGUAGGUCAAGGAUUGCUUUGUUUAAUUUGUUUUUAAAAGAAAGGAUUUCUUUAUUUAAAAUACUUAAUUUAAAGCAUGAGAACACACUAGCACCUAAAUAAAAUCCACAGCAUUCAAAAUGUACUCCCUUUUAUAUAAUGCUAGAUAACAUUAUUAGCUUUUAGAUUUAUGAACAUGUGUAGGUAUGACUUCCAACAGAUGUAUAUUUUUUAGCUUUUAUAUACAGUUACCCAUAUUUCUCAAAUAAUAAUUCUCAUUUUUAUUUUCUACUCUAUUUGUAAAAGUCAUUUAUUAUUCCAGGAAAACAAAGGUGGGGAAUAGUAUUGCUACAGUAGCUCACCUCUUCUUUCAGUUUUAUUUAAGCUAGAUUUACAUACUAUGGAGAAGAAACAAGAGAAGGUAUCAUUCUUGUAGCAAUGCUUCUCAUUUUUUUGCCCUUGAUAACUAUUUUUUUUAAAUCCAUCUAAAAGGGCAGUAUUGGACUCUUUAAAAAUGUUAUUAAUUGUUCUUAGCUGUAGAUUUACAGAAUAUAGCCUCAAGUGUUUAUAUGUGACACUAUAUAUUUUCUAAUCAAAUUAAUAUCAUUCUUAGUGUUUAUCAAGAACAGCUAAAUUUUAUGGUGACUUUUGUAUUCUGGCUCCCAUGUUUCAUCAAUCUUUGUGUGCCACAUUUUUGUUUUGUUUUGUGGAGACUUACACAUUUUCAUUUCUAUUUAUUUGUUGAUAUGUAGUAACUAUUCAGAAUGUCACAAAAUACUUCAGAAAUGCUGCUCAGUUGAUUGGGUUUACCAAAAAAAAAUUCCCAGAGACUCUAUUAGAUAUUUCUUCUGCAUAACACAUAAGCUUUCUCAAAUUAGUUGUAAAUAUACAGUGUUUUGGAAAUUAUUCUGUAAUAGUCUCUUUUUUAAAAAAUAUUACUGAUAUAAAAUUAGCUUUUUUUUCUUUUGCUUGUUGAAGCUUAAUAAUACCCACAUUGACUUUUUAACCCCUUUUUAAGAAAAACAGAUUAUUGAUGUGAUAUCUAGAAUACACAUCUUGUCAUAUUAGAAUAGAUAUGUAAUUUUUUUAAAAAAUUCAGCAAACUUAAAAACAUUGUGCUAGGCAACUGAUUUUGGCACAUAAUUAGAACUCAAAGUAUGAGUUGGUGAAUUUUGUAGCCCCAAAUAUCAUAAGACCAAAGGAAGUCAGUAAUAAAAGACCACUUUAUUUCAAAUAAGUGUUGAAAGUGAGAAUAAGCAUUUAGAAGUGACAGCAUUAAAACCUUAAAAUCAGUGUCUUAAGAGUAACAACGUCAGUUUUAGAAUACUAUAUUACUAAUGUGUCUUAAUUUAUUUGACUAUUUGCAUUACAAAUUAUGGUAUAGAUCCUUCAUAUUAAUGUUGCUUUCUGGUAGAUAAUUUUUUUGCCUUUUUCCCCCCUAUAUUACAGAUGCUUUAGGAUUUUUUUCUUUUUGGAGAGGCAAGUUUUGAAUAUUGGAAUUGAUACUAAAUACACACAUAUAUAUCUGAAUGUUUUGACCUUUAGGAGAGAGCCAAUUCUGGAGAACAACCUAACUUCUUUGACUGAAUACUCACAAAACACACGGGAACAUGAUAGGAGAGGAAGAUUUAAUAAUGAUAAAAAUGAAGACAGUAAUAAAACGGCCUUCAACCUACAUAGCAGUGCUUAACUUAUGUAUUUAUUCACUUGUGAGGCAGAGUUACAGAGAGGGCAAGAGAGAGAGCGAAGUCAUCCAUCUGCUGGUUCACUCCUCAAAUGGCCACAGUGGACGGAGCUGAGCCAACCCAAAGCCAGGAGCCAGGAGCUUCUUCCAGAGUGAACAUAACCAGGGUCCUUCAACUGGUUCUUACAACAUGAAUUCUAGACCAGUAUCCUGGAUAUUUCCCUUUGGGUCUGCAACAUUUUGUAGUAUUUCUUUAAAAAUAUUUUGUAUAAAAUUGAGCCCAUCCUACUUGAUGUGACCAAAGAACAAAAGACAGUGCAUCUCUUAAGAAUAAGAUGUCUUUUGAAGGGUGUACUUCCAGAUGUAAAUUCCACUUUUACCAAGGUAUGAAUUUUGGCACCAUUGCUGUUCCCCUUAGAAAAGUUACAUCUAACUUACAUGCUGGCCUGCUGACUUAUCUUUUCAUGACUCCUAAAUUAUGGAGGAGUGCUGUCAGAGCCGCACUGGAAAACCAGGUCGUGGUAAGAAGGUCUUUGUGGAGGCAGUGGAAGGAAGGUCACCUGCGGGGGGAAGGAGUUGCUAUUCCAGGCCGAGGGAGACAAUUGUGAUGACUAGAGUAACUGAGUUCCUGCCAGCCACAUGGGAUACCUGGAUUAAGUUCCUGGCUUCCAGUUUCAGCCUCUCAGCCAUCGCAGGUAUCUGGGGAGUGAUAGUGGAACAUCCUUUCUCUUUUGUCUGUCGGUCUCUGUUCCUCUGAACAAAGACUAAGCUCAGGUAGCAGAACUACUUUAUAGUUUUAUAUUAGAUAAUGAUUAUACAUUUAUAAUUGUGAAAAAAUACCCAUUUCAAAAAAUUUUUUGCAUCAACAUAAGCAUGAACUUUUUGAAGUACCCUCAUAUGCAUGUAAAAUGAAAGAAAAGAUUGUUCUGUUUCAAAAUGUUGUGUCAUAUGUCAUAAAUGUGUAAAAAUGUGAUGUAGGAAAUUACAACUUUUGAAAAGCACUGAGAAUGGCUUUAAAGAGGGACUUUAGUGUGUACUCUGCAUUACUGUGCAGCUACGAAACUACUUGAAAGUAAAAUAUUUAUUUGUUUUACUAGAAAAUCAGUUACAGAGAGACAGGCAGAGAGAGGUCUUCUAUCCACUGGUUCACUCCCCAGAUGGCUGCAACGGCUGGAGGUGGGCCGAUCUGAAGCCAGAAGCCAGGAGCUUUUUCCUGGUCUCCCACACAGGUGCAGGGGCCCAAAGACUUGGGGCCAUCUUGCACUGCUUUCCCAGGCCACAGCAGAGAGCUGGAUCGGAAGUGGAGCUGCUAGGACCUGAAUCAGCACCCAUAUGAGGUGCCAGCACUGCAGGCACACCCCCCUUUUUAAGAUUAAUAUUCUCUUUUAGAACAAUGAAGGUAAGCCUUUUGAUGACCUUCCAACCCCAAGUCUGGUUCCACAGUUUAUCAACUCCACUACUCUGUCAUCUUUGACCUAAGAAUUCUCCACAAAGGCCAGAUUUUUGUGUAAGCAGUAAAACAGGAAAGUGGUAGGGGCAGUACUCAAUAAAGUAAGGCUAAUUUGCUAUCUUCACAAGGUUAAUAUCGCCAGCAAGUCUUACCUGAGUAUAUUAAAUAAAUAAGAGGAAAAGAAAGGAUACACCAAGUAAUUGGGAUGAGGAGAAGAGAAAAGGCACCCAAAGCAAAGAGAAACUUUGAAGAAAAUUGAAAAGGAUACUGCAGUAGGAGCCAACAGGAAUUUUAAGGCAAUCCAGUAAGAUCAAAAGUAAAAAGGAAAAUGUCACACACAGGAAAAUUUAGGAAUAAUAAGCAGUCAUCCCAAAGCCAUAAUCAACUUACAGCUCUUAACAUGAAUGGGGGGGUGGGGUGGGAAAUAAUCCUUGGAAAUUUCUUUAAAUUGCAUCAAAAUUACAAUAGAUCCUCUUUGGUCCAUUUUUAGUGAUACAGCUUACAGAUUUUGGUUUGUAAUUUGAAAGAUUCUAAUUUUUUCUCUCAAAACCUAAACACUAUUUUCUCUUUCCCUGCUUCUUUAUACUCAAUAUUUCCCAUAGGACAGAACGAUGUGACCACUUUCGCAGCUGACUCAACUACUUUUUAGAGAAAACGGAAAUACAUUAGUUAGAUUCAAGAAACCACAGCAGGCUUCUUUUGUUGCUUCAGAAUUAAAAGGUUUUAGUUUCAUGAACAAACGAUACUCUCCACAGUUAAAUGAAGUUUCUUCAAAUACAGCUAACACAUAAAAUGUGAAGAGAUCAACAGAGCUUAUCCCUUUAAUGUGAACUAAGGCACAUAAAAGCACACAUCCCCUCCAUCUUUUUGGGGGGAGCUGCAUUUUUUUUCCUAAAAUAAGAAUCUAGAAACAAUAUCUAAACAAAAUUACUGUCCACUGUUACCCAUUCAACUUAAGUUUUCCAAGAUUCAUUUCUUCCUUUGCUUCUGAAUAUCAAAUUCUAAAUCUUCAAACACAAAAAUCUAUUUUCCUACCAAUUAAAAAUUUCCCAAAUGUUUUAUGCCGACAAUUGCAACAGCUACAUGCAUACUAGUUGUCUACCGCCUUGCUGGAAAAAAGUCAGCCUCCUUUUCCUGCCAUAUUUAUACUUUUCACAUACUUUUCAAUUCACACAUAAGAAAAUUCAUUUUUUGGUGCACAGAACUUUUUUUUUUUUAAGAUUUAUUUAUUAAUUUGAAAAGCAGAGUUUUGGAGACGCAGCGGCAGAGAGAGAGGUCUUCCAUCCACUGGUUCACUCCCCAGAUGGCUGCAACGGCUAGAGCUGUGCCGAUCCAAAGUCAGGACCUUCUUCUCGGGUCUCCCACAUGGAAGCAGGGUCCCAAAGACUUGGGUCGUCCUCUACUGCUUUCCCAGGCCAUUGCAGAGAGCUGGAUUGGAACAGGAGCGGCUGGGUCUCGGACCGACACCAUUUGGGAUGCCAACACUGCAGAAGGCAGCUUUACCUGCUACACUACAGCACCAGCCCCUCAGCUACUCCACUUCUGAUCCAGCUCUCUGCUAUGGCCUGUGAAAGCAGUAGAAGAGGGCCCAAGUCUUUGUGCCCGUGCACCCACAUGGGAGACCUGGAAGAAGCUCCUGGAUCCUCUUUGAAUCGACCGUUGGCAGCCAUUUGGGCAGUGAAAAACCGGAUGGAAGAUAUCUCUCUUUCUCUGUCUCUAACUCUGCCUUUCAAAUAAAUAAAUCUUUAGAAAAAAAGUUUCAAAACAGUACCUAAGUAUCAGGUAACCAGAAAGCAAAUACAGAAACUGUCACUCACAAUAAAUUAUGCCAAGCUCUACUACACUGAGCCGCCGAGCUUAUCUUGAAACAAUACUAGUAGCUCAUUAAAAGAAAAUCACUUCCUCUUGACACACUCAUCUUACUGGCAAAUAGUGUAUAAUAUUUUGUUUCAGAAUGAGGUCCAUGGCCAACGCUGUGGCUCACUUGGUUAAUCCUCCGCCUGCGGCACCAGCAUCCCAUAUGGGCAGCGGGUUCUAGUCCCAGUUGCUCCUCUUCCAGUCCAGCUCUCUGCUGUGGCCUGGGAAGGCAGUGGAGGAUGGCCCAAGUGCUUGGGUCCUACACCCGCAUGGGAGACCAGGAGGAAGCACCUGGCUCCUGGCUUCGGAUCAGCACAGUGCCGGCCGUAGCGGCAAUUUGGGGAGUGAACCAACGGGAGGAAGACCUUUCUGUCUGUCUCUCUAACUCUACAUGCCAAAUAUAUAUUAAAAAAAAAAGAAAAAUGAGGCCCACUAAUAAAUGCUUUCUUAAAACUAAGGGCAUCCAGUUAAUGAGUCUAAGUAGAUAAAGAUAUUUAUUACAGUCUGAAUUUUCUGUUCGAAUAUCUUCAUAAUAAAAACUUGUGGAGAAAAUAAAAGAGGAAGGCCAAUUAUUUAAAAAAAAAAAAAAAAAACGAGUUUAAAAAGUAAAGUUUUGGCUGGCACCAUGGUUCACUAGGCUAAUCCUCCGCCUGCGGCGCCGGCAGCCAGGUAUUCUAAUCCUGGUUGGGGCUUCGGUUCUGUCCCGGUUGCUCCUCUUCCAGUCCAGCUCUCUGCUGUGGCCCGGGAAGGCGGUGGAGGAUGGCCCAAGUGCUUGGGCCCUGCACCCCAUGGGAGACCAGGAGGAGACACCUGGCUCCUGGCUUCGGAUCGGCGCAGCGCGCCGGCCACAAUGCACCAGCCGUGGAUGACACUUUGGGGGUGAACCAACAGAAAAAAAGAAGACCUUUCUCUCUGUCUCUCUCUCACUGUCUAACUCUGCCUGUCAAAGAAAAAAAAAAGUAAAGUUUUGAGGCAGGCAUCUGGCCUAGCAGUUAAUACACUGUUAAGCACACUUUAUAGUGGAGCACCUCGGUCUGAUGCCUGGCUCUGGCUCCUGACUCCAGCUUCCUGUUACUGCAGACCCUGGGAGGCAGCAGUGACUGCUCAAGUGAUUGGGUUCCUGCCACCUACAUGGGAAACCUGGAUGGAGUUCCUGGCUUCCAGCUUUAGCCCCACCAAGACCAGGUAUAUGGGGUACAGUCAGCCAAUAUGUGGGAGCUCUCUCUCCAUCUAUCUCUGCCUGUCAAAUACAUAAAAAAUAUUUUAAAUACUGGCCAAGUAUGAUAAACUUCACAAGGAGCUUACUCUGCUUUAGUACAGCUUUAUCUUUCUUAAAGUAAAAAGUAUAUUACCAGAAAUCUCUGGGUCCAGGCCAAAGAGGAGACUGCCAUGCCUGUCUGGCUUUCAGUUUGUGACCUUUGACAAACCACAUAUACAUAUUACAGCUCCUUCCUCAUCUGUAUAACUGUUUUGGAAGUUACAUAUGAAAAAUUAUUUACAAAGUUUUUAGGUUCUUUGUACCAAUGUCAUACUUCAUUCUGGCUUUAAGCGACUCCCUAUGACUUAAAGGAUCAAAGCAGAACAAAGUAAGGUUAAAAAGAGGUAAGAUUUCAGAUUAUUUCUCUUCACAAAGGGAUAUAAAAAUUAAUGACCUGUAUUCACAUACUCACAGUUUCUAAAAUGGCUUUUGCAACAUAGAAAAGUUACCUAUGUGUCCACAUAAAGUAAUAAAUAGGGCCAGCACUGUGCCAUAGUGGGUAAAGCCGCCGCCCGCAGCACCAGCAUCCCAUAUCGGGGCCGGUUGACCCCUGGCUGCUCCACUUCUGACCCAGCUUCCUGCUAAUGUGCCUGGGAAAUCAGCAGAGGAUGGCCCAAAUGCUUGGGCCCCUGCAUCCAUGUGGGCGACCUGGAGGAAUCUCCUGUCUCCUGGCUUCAGCCUGGCCCAGUCCUGGCUGUUGCAGCCAUUUGGGGAGUGAACCAGCUGACUGAGGAUCUCUCUCUCCCUCUUCCUCUCCCUGUCUAACUCUGCCUUUCAAAUAAGUAAGUCACUCUUUUUGUUUGUUUGUUUGUUUGUUUGACAGGCAGAGUGGAUAGUGAUUGAGAGAGACAGAGAGAAAGGUCUUCCUUUUUGCCGUUGGUUCACCCUCCAGUGGCCGCCACGGCUGGCGCGCUGCGGCCGGCGCACCUCGCUGAUCCAAAGGCAGGAGCCAGGUGCUUCUCCUGGUCUCCCAUGGGGUGCAGGACCCAAGCACUUGGGCCAUCCUCCAUUGCCUUCCCGGGCCACAGCAGAGAGCGGGCCUGGAAGAGGGGCAACCGGGACAGAAUCCGGCGCCCCGACCAGGACUAGAACCCGGUGUGCCGGCGCUGCUAGGUGAAGGAUUAGCCUAUUGAGCCGCGGCGCCAGCCAGUAAGUCACUCUUAAAUACUUUCUCCCAACGUAUUUCUAGGAGGGUUCCUGAUAAAUGGGGCAAAUAGAGCUAGUGCAGCUUUGAGGACUUGGAAUGUUCACAAAGGUUUUUUGGACUAAGGUGACAGUCCCCAAAACAGAAAUUAGGUCAUUGCCUUAUGUUUCCGAUGCUAUUUCAAUGGGUACAACCUUGAUUUCCUCCCAUUCUUUCCUUAUCCCUGACCCUUCUCUCUCUCGUACCUUAUUUAACUUAUUUGUUAUCCUCCUCUCCCUUUUCUUCCUGCAUUACUUGGUCAUCAACCAAGAUACUAUAGCACAAUUUAUGUCCAUCUGCAGCAUCAAAUCAAUAAAGGUUUUAGGAUACCCCCUAAACCUAAUAAUUCUAUCCCAUUUGUGUACAACUACUGUGAAAUCUAGGCGGACUCUAAUUGGUAUCCACAAUUCAGAUUAAAGAAAUUUGAAUAAAAAGUAUCUAGAGGGGCCGGCACUGCGGUGUAGCAGGUAAUAGCCACCGCCUACAGUGCUGGCUUCUCAUGUGGGCACCAGUUCAAGUCCUGGCUGCUCCAUUUCUGAUCAAGCUCCCUGCUAUGGCCUAGUAAAGCAGUAUAAGAUGGCCUAAGUCCUUGGGCCCCUGUACCCACGUGGGAGACCCAGAGGAAGUUCUUGUCUCCUGGCUCUGGAUCAGCCCUGCUCCAGCCACUGCAGCCAUCUGGGGAGUGAACCAGUGUAUGGAGAACCUCUCUCUCUCUCUCUCUCUCUCUGCGUCUGCCUCUCUAACUUGCCUUUCAAAUAAAUAAAUAAAUCUUUUUUCUUUUUAAGUAUAUAGAUUGGAGGAAACCAUACAUACAUUGGGUCUGUUGAUAACACCUAACACCCAGUCCCCAACUUAAAUUCAACUCAACAGUUUUUCAACUUGAUAGUAUAAAAUCAAUGCUCAUUUAGUACAAACUAUAAUUUGAAUUUUGUUCUUUCCUGAGCUAGCAAUAUGUUGUACGACACAUUCUCGUGGUGCAGGUUAACUACUGGGCACAGCUCAUCAGCCAUAGAUUACUAACAACCAGUACUGCAAUCCACAGUGUACUGCAAUCCACAGUGCACUAUAGUCAAUAAACUAUAUGACACAUUCAAAACUUUAUUUAAAAAUUGGUUUAGUAUUAGAUGAUUUUGCCCAGCUGUAGAGCAGUGUGAGCAAUCUAAACACAGUUAAGGUGGGCAAGGCUAAGCUAGGCUGUUCAUUGGGCUAAGUGUGUUAAAGGCACUUUCAACUAAGGGAUUUUCAACUUAAGAUGUAUUUACUGAUACACAGCCCCAUCCUAAGUUGAGUUUACUGUACACUUAAAAUUUUAUUAAGAGGGUUAAAUCUCAUGUAACUGUCUUCACUUUGUUUUAAAAAAAGGACAUAGAAAGUUGAAACUAUACUGAAGUUGCAGAGGUAAUCCAUGUAAUUAGCUUUUGUAUUUUCUUAAAUUAUAAAAAUCUGUGAUUAUAGAAAAUAUGAGGGAAACCCAUUAUCACAUCAACAAAGGAUAAGCAAUAUUAUUAUUCUGGUAUAUUUCUUCCAGUCAUGUGACUGUGUGAUAUAUAUUUUCUAAAAACGGGUAGCAUACUACAAAAUUUUAUCCAUUUUUUCAUUUACUUGAUCACAUAUAUUUCCCACAUCAUGAUCCUUUUAACAUGAAGAUCCAUCCAUGAAUAAGCUUUCUUAUCACUUGCUUAUUUCAGGGAUAUAGAAAAGUCUUGGUCAACAGCUCUGAUUAUCUCCUUAGGCAAUUAUUUUAAGAGUAUUGCUUAGUCAAAGUAAGAACAUUUUUUAAGGCUCUUGAAAAAACUGCCAAGUUUCCCUCUGAGAAGGGUAUUUACCACUUAAUGGAUGAUAGCCAUAGAGAGAAAAGCCUGGUGCUAUGUAUGGAAGGACUUACCAGGGAGUCUUCUGUAAGUCAGCAGGGACCAAAAACAAUGGUGCUUCUAGGGAAGAAAUCUUAUCUUCUGGUUGUGUAAGAAGUAUGACCAGUUGGUCAACAGCUCCAUCAAGUUCUACCAGAAGGAGUGCCUGUGAAAUGAAAUGCAGCUUUUAAAUGCCCAGUAGAUGAAAGUCACAAGACAGAGGACUAGGGCCCUGUUCCACAAGCCCCACCUGCCUAACAAUUCACCCGCACGGAAGAAGCUAAAAAAAAAAAAGGAAAGAAAUGCUGCCAAAGCCUCUCUUCCUUUGCAAUAUAAAUCUCUGGGUACAAUAUUUUUAAAUUACCAUAUAAACAACUGCCAAUGAUGGAUUCCAAAUUUUGACAAAAUAGGAAAACAAAGACCAACAAACCAAAGAAGUGGAUGAGAACAUAUAUGUUCUACACAUCGUUCUAUUUCAAAAGCUUCAGGGCCUAGUGAAAUUGGGUGUGUUUUUUUUUUAAAUGUGGACAUAACAUAAGGAAAGGUAUUGUUUAUAUUCGUUCCCUGCAAGCAGGUGUUUUCGGCAGGGUUACUAAUUCCCAGGGCAAAACAAUCGGGGCCGCCCCUUUUUCCUCCUUUGCAUUUGAUUGACAAACUAGAGGCUACUGGAAAGAGAGGAGAGGAGAAAGGGCUUUGUUUUGUUUUGCAUGUAUUUGCACAGGAUCGCCCCCAGAAAUAAAGCCAGCGUGCAGAGCGCGGGCGAGGCUGUGGCUCUUUGUACUCGGCCGCUUCUCGGUGAGGGCGCCCUCCCCCGGCGCCGUGCGGACGGGCAGGGCGGCUGGGUCUCCCACCUCCAGCUCACAAUCGCCUUCUCUUUCCUAGGCGGUACUGAGGCACAGGUGGCGGUGCCGGGCGCGCCGCGGGAGCAGCAGCUCUACUGCAGCGCACACGGGCAGGCCCGGCCGGCCCGCGCCCACCCGCACGCCACCCUCCCCACGCCCUGCUUCGCGGGGCUCGAGUGCGGGCUGAGCUCGAGCCAGCCCUUCGCCCCCGCCCCCGGGUCCCGGCCCGCCUGGGCAGGUCGCCACCCCGGCAGCAGGCUCGAGGGUGACCGCAUCCCCGAGAGGAGGCGGGCGGCGGGUACUUAUCUCGGACCUCCGGGGACGCGAACGAUGCGCCGCACGGCGGCCCGUCCUCCAGCUGCUGGGGCCGCGCGAUAGCGCCGGGCACGGCCGCAAGAUGGACUCGCGGCGGCCGUCCUCCUGCGCCCGCAGCCGGGGCCCCGCCUCCCGGGCCGCCGGGCCUUAGUCCCGCCUCCCGGCCGCGCCUCCCCGGGGGAGCGGAGCUGCAGCGCGCGUCCUUCCGGCGUCGACGACCGCCCUGCCCGCCCCGGGCGCUGCCCUCCGCGGCGGCCCGCAGGGGAGGGCGAGCGCGAGGGCCGGCCACAGGACGCGGACGUCUCCCUGCUCGGCCGACACGCGAUACGAUGGUUGGGUUUGGAUUGUUGUACUUUUUUUUUUGUUCGUUGCAUUUUUGGGAACAAAAAAAAAAGCCCAACCCUUCACACCACUUCAUCGGCAUCUGUGAGGAGCAGAAGAGCGGAGCCUGCCGAGCGAGCGCCUCCGGCAGGGGCGACACCCCAGUCGGGUUCACGGUCAGACCCCACCCCAGCUCUGCACCUGCUGCUUUGGCGUUUUAGGCAGGGCACCAGCGACCCAAUUCUAUUCGAAAUUCUCUCUUAGGAAAAAGAACACUGCUUUUUCCUUUGGCGAGAACAGCUUUUAAAUUGGCUCUAUAUGACCCACGGCUAACAGUCGAUAACCUGCCUCUUUUUCCUGACGUCCCCCCUGGGCUUCUUGUGUGAUGUCAGAGGCAUGGGGCACUUCCCAGUGAGCAGGCUGUGGGAGACGCAGAGCUGAAGAUGCCCGAAUGGCUCCUCUCCAAAACUCCCAGCCUUGAGGUGUGUUGUCGGGGUGAGUUCUCCCCAACAUGGGGACGUCUGGGUUUGGGAGCCAGGAGAAGGUCAUUUUGGAGAAAGCACGUUCAAGUCCUACCAUUCACGGCCCUUAGUCCCCCUGACUGGUAAUAAUGAACCCAAACCCCACCCACCCCUGGCCACUCCCUCCUACCUGAGAUGCCCACCUCCGUGUGCAUCUGCCUUGCUGCAGCACGGCCAGUAACCUAAUUUUGCCUUUGUGAAAUAGUUCCUAUAAAUUCUGCCCCUUCACUUUCAUAAGAACACCGUGAGAUGCAAAUUGUGAACUUCCACCUAUAGGUAAAGAAACAGGCAAAGUGCUUUCUCCAAGGUUAAAAACAAGCAACAGCUAAGCCUAAAUUCAGAUCCCAAGUACAGAGUGUUUCUACAGCAGUCUUAGAUGAAUCUGCACUCCAAUUCCCUACUAAAUUAAUGUUAUUAAAAAUAAACUUAGAGAAACAUUUUAAAUACCCUAAUAUUAAAAUGACACUGGAGUAAAAGGUUAUUAACUCAUAAAUACACACGUGUAGUUAGAGCUGUUGGUAGCAGAUACUGUAACAAUAAACCUAUGCCCAACUAAAGGUAAAACACUUGUUAAAUCUAUAGAGCAAUCCCUAAGCUGUUACAAUUAACCACUAAGUAAAGGACAUGGCAUGUGACUCUCAAGUGCAGGAAACUGGGAAGGGAAGAGAGCCUUCUCUUUUCUCCUAUGGUCCUACACACAGCAUCAAGGGGCCUGUCCUACAUAGUGUGACUAGAAAACAGUAUCCACGGGAUGAAAACUCUGCUUCCUGGAGACCACAGUGUAACUAGACCCUGGUAGAAGAGUGCAGCCACUCUCAGACUUCUCUCCACACCAGAAUUUCCUUCUGUUGGCUGUUCUCCAAAUGAGAACACUGAUGCUGAAGCUUGGAAUUCAUAUUGCAGCACAGUGGCAAGGGGCAAGGCUGCAGUCUUAGGUGGGUUUCUGUCUUUUAGGAAAAAUGUUUUUUACUGGGUAGAAUGUCAAGUCAGAUUUUUUUCUUCAUUUACUUAGUGUUGUGUUAACUUAUCUGAUGGUGGUGUUUUUGUCCUGGGCCUUGACAAAGCUAAGAACUUAGCGCUGCUGCUCAACCAAGACGUAAGUGAUCAACUGUCUCGUAACAAAAGGGACAGUGCCAAACUUAGUGUACACUGCAGUGUCAGUUGUCAGUGAGGAAUCACUCUUAAGUAAGACUGGGGCAGUCGUGGCAGGGAAGGAGUACUGGUGAGCCUCCCCAGGUACCUUGGAACUUUUUAUUCUGUCCUUGUCUGUGGUCUCCAGAAUUACACACAUUCCCCCGUGAGAAUUCCUACCAAGAAAAGACACUGACACUGCAAGCUGCUCCAAAAAGGACACAGGGUUUGGAAUGAGUUCUGCAUCCCAGAUCUAGCUCUCCCACUUCCUUGUUCAACUUACACAGCGUCUCUAAGCCCCAGUUUUCUCCUCUGUAAAAUCGAAGUCAUGACACAUUUGAUUAUGACAAUUAAGUCCUAUAUAAAGCAACCGUCAGUAUGUUCUGACACACAGUUGGUGCCUAAUGGUUGCUACUGUUAUUUAGAAGAAAACCAUGCUCAUUUUGGGAUGCAUUUGGUCUGGAUUUGUAAACCUGGACACAAGCCCGACAGUCCAAGCAGAGCUAACCUGCUCAUGCGGUAGAGGAAGUUACCACCACCGUCUUUCAGUGCCUUAGAUCCAGGCCCUGGAGGUCCUGUAAAAGCUGAUGCCCUUCCACUUCUGCACCCCUUUCCCUGUGCCUCGGGAAAAGGGAGAAAAACUCAAUGAAGGGAAAACUCUUUGAUUUUCUAAAGCUUUCCCCAUUUGUAAAGAAAAAUCCAAAACAUUUGCAAAGAGCAUUCAAAACAUUCCUUCAAAAGGGAAAAACCAAGAAAGACAGAAACUUACCUAAGAUUUGAUGAGAUUACAGGGAAUCAGUCUCUGAUUUGAAGAAAUUUCCAGAUUCCAUAUAUUUCAGUUGCACAGUGAAGAGCAUGCACUAUAUAGCAAGAUCAGUUGGCUUUGGAAGGAUGAGACACUGAAGCAACAGUAAACUUUAGUUACGCCGUUUCUGCAGAUGGAAAGAAAAAUUGUAAUAAGUCAGAGGUAAUUAUGAUGAUUCUAGCAUAUGCUUAUAAUUUUAUACUCUGUCGAAUUUUGUAAUUCUCAGGAUUGCACUAGGCACCAAAUAUACCAAUCAAGAAAUUUCCCAUUUGACUGAAGACACAAGUCCUGUUACUUGGUACAAAUUGCACAUGAUACUGAUGUCAGCACUAAAGUGACUGAUUAAGGAUAAGAAGGCCAAAGGCAUGCCCCCAGAAACCUCGGGAGAGGUUUCACAAGGGUGCUGGGAGUUGAACUGAACCUGUAGUGACCUUUAGUGAAGAGAAAGGAAGGGCACUGAAGGUAAAGAGCACAGCCCUGGCUUGCUCAGGGAAAAGAGUGGCCUGCUUUGGAAAUCAGUCUGAGGCUAACGUAUAGAAUGUUUUGAAUGUCAUUAUAAAGAGUUGAACACCGUUCUUUAGGAAAUGAAAAGUCACCAAGUAACUAUGUAUGUCGCACUAACAAAAUGUCAGCAAAUUUCAGGAAGGUUAAUUUGAUAUUUUUGAGAUUUGUUAUUUAAAAUUACAGAUUUUUUUAAAAGAUACAUCAUAUAUAAGCAUAUGUAAUUCAGUCUUACGGAACCAUUUAACAUCAAAUAUGUUAUCUAUUAAAUUUCAUUUGUAAAUAAAGUAUAAUAUAUAAAGAAUUGUGGCAAAUAUACUUCAACAAUCCUCCAACAGGCAAUUACAUGUGUGUUUAUGUACUUGUACAUCAAUCACAUGUAUAAUUUGUUAUACUGAUAUUAACUAAGUUGUGUAAAAGACCAGUGUUGCUAUGAUUUAGAGCAAGCCUCACUAGAGCUUUAAAAAUCAUUACAUAAAUAUUCUCAGAACUGUAUUACUGUUUUGAUAUUUGAAAAAUAAUUAUGUUCAAUUAUGAUAAUUAAGUGCUUUUCUAAACUUAAUUCCUACAUAUGUAGAAUUUUAUGUUUGAUGAAGAGUAACACUGUGAGGGCCUUAAAAUGAUUCAUUCAAGUAAAUACUAAAAAUAUUUACAACUGUUUAAGAGAACUUGAUUUGUAUAAAUUGUUCAUUUUCAUUCAUUCUGUUGAACCCACUAAUCAUUAUGUGUUUCAUAUUUAUCUUUUAAAAUGUCAGUUGUGAUUACAAAGUUCUAUUUUGGUUUGGAGAAAAACUUUCAUUCUGCUCCAUGGGACAUUUUUAAGAGUAUUUCUUUGCAAAUAAGGAUAUGAUAUGGGUAGGAGCUCUCUAGUACUCAGCACCUGAUUUUUGUACCUUAAACACACCCUUUUCUUCUUAAAUAAAGGCAACUGUAUUCUCACAGAACUUUUUGGCUCUGAGGAUGUAGAUUUAUCAGAUACUCACCUGUACAGCAUUGCACAAGAAAGACAUACUUCAUAUGUUUUUAACAUGAGCCUACUCAGGUCUCUCUGAUGUCAAAGCGUUGGGUAAUAAAUGCCUUGUCAAAAUGUGCUUGUCUUAGAGUAGUCUUGUUGUUUGUAUCGCUGUGUGGGUAUUGCUGGCAUGCGGCCAGACCUCCAGAAGCUUGGGAUGGAUCUAAAGCAGCCCACACCCCUCCCAGUCAAGAAGACCAACAAUUCCAAAGAUGCAGGAAAUGGAUCAUGCACCAUCAGCACAAUAUAGGCAUUUUGUAAAGGUUACUGACCUCUGUAUUGCUAAACCCAACAGACAUUUUUUCAGUUCUAAUUUCCUUGCUCUCUCAGCAGCAUUCACUUCUUGGAAGGCCCUCUACUGCCAGCCUUCAGAAACACCACACUCCUGGCUUCUUUUUCUACCUCUUCUCAACAUUUAAAUUCUUGAAUUCCUCAAACGCUCAGUUUUAGGAUAUUCUCAGGACUUUAGUGGGUAUUUCAUGACUUUCAUAUUCCCUUUGAAUCAGUAAUCACAAACUCAUCACUUCUCAAUGAUGAAAACUGUUUGAAUUUAAGUACUUUAGGAGACACAAGUUCCUUCCUCCUCUCCCACAAUCCUUACAGUCUGCAAGCACUGGAGAUAGUCCUCAUGUUGCUCAGAGCUGGUAUUCUUUCAGCUUUGGGGCUCCUGCCUCCAAUGGUUCCUUCCCUACCAACAGCUCCUCCUCUCCAGCCAUCUCCCACCCUGUCCCCCAACCACAGCACAACUGAGCCAUCUCAGGUUAGCCGCCACCAUAUUCAGGCCAGGAAGAGAUCUCUCUUAGUUAUGUCCUCUGAUGCUAUUCUUUUUUUUUUUUUUUAAUAUUUAUUUUAUUUAUUUAUUUAUUUAUUUUUUGACAGGCAGAGUGGACAGUGAGAGAGAGAGACAGAGAGAAAGGUCUUCCUUUGCCGUUGGUUCACCUCCAAUGGCUGCCGCAGCCAGCGCACUGCGGCCGGCACACCGCGCUGAUUUGAUGGCAGGAGCCAGGUACUUAUCCUGGUCUCCCAUGCGGGUGCAGGGCCCAAGGACUUGGGCCAUCCUCCACUGCACUCCCUGGCCACAGCAGAGAGCUGGCCUGGAAGAGGAGCAACCGGGACAGAAUCCGGCGCCCCAACCGGGACUAGAACCUGGUGUGCCGGCGCCGCAAGGCGGAAGAUUAGCCUAGUGAGCCGUGGCUCCAGCCCUGAUGCUAUUCUACCAUGCACACUGCAGUUUGCUAAUAUGUAUUUACUUGUAUAAUUAUUUGAAUAAUGUUUAUCCACUUGACUAUAAAUUCUAGAAGAGUUGGGACUGUGUGUGUGUGAGAGAGAGAGAGAGAGAGAGAGAUCUCAUCAUUGCAUUCCCAGCAUCUAAACCAGUAAGUUAGGGAAGUAAGAGUUCUCCAUUUAAACAAUUAUUGAUAUAUUUCAAAUAUCUAAAAAUUGGCUAUCGAGAUCAGCUGAAAUGAUAAUGAAUCCUGAAUCUUAUUUCACUUGAAAUAGACACUUCAGCAUAUUUUAUCAAAACAAAAUAUCUUUCCAACUUUUGUUACACCACAAGGUUUAUCACACUCCCCCUAUAGCUUAUACAUAUAUGUGUAGUCUUACUCUUCACAGAAUAACACAUCUCUUAAAAUGACAGAAAAUUUCCUAAACAGUCUAUCAGAGAAUUAUUUCUUAUAUGGUUAUUUUAAAAAAUAUUUAUGUAUUUUUAUUUAUUUGAAAGGUAGAGAGAGAUAGAGAAAGAUCUUCCAUUUGCUAGUUUAUUCCUCAUAUGCCUGCAACAGCCCAGGCUGGGCCAGGCUGAAAUCAGAAGCUCAGAGUCUCCCAUGUGUGUGGCAAAGACCCAAGUUACUUCAGCCAUUGCCUGUUACCUCCCAGGGUGCAUAUUAGCAGGAAGCUGAAAUCAAAAGCAGACCAGGACUCAAAUCCUAGCACCCUGGUAGGAGAUGAAAGUGUCCCAGGCAGUAUCUUAACUAAUGCACCAAAUGCCAGCCUCAUCAGAAUUAUCAAAAAACCAAGAACCUUCUUUCUGAGGAUAAGCAUCAACCAAUACUCCAUUAAAAAACUGAGUAAUAUGACUAAAUAUGUUUGGAGUGAUCACGGGGCUUAGCAGUUAAGACACAGCUUGGGACACACAUCCCAUAUUGGAGGACCCAAGUUUGAAUUCUGGCUCUGCUCCUGAUUCCACUUUCCUGAUGAUGCAAACCCUGCGAGGCAGCAGUAAUGGCUGAAGUAAUUGGGUUCCUCCCAUUCACGUGAGAGACCUGGAUUGAAUUUCCAGUCCCUGGCAUCAGCCCCAGUCAUCGUGUGUGUUUGGGGGAGUAAGCCAAUGGAUAGAAGUGCUCAUUCUCUGUCUAUCACUCUUUCAAAUAACUUCAAUGAAUAAAUUUUUAAAACAGAGCAUCAUUUAAUAGGAUGUACAUCUAGUAAAAAGAUGAUGAAGUUUCAUAUGUUGACACUGAGACCUGUAUAGUAGUAAAAAAAUUAAAAAACUAUGUGUACUAUGAUUUCAAUUUUGAAAAUAAAUAUAACUGAUAGAAUAUGUGGAAGAAGGAAAAUUUUUAGGAAAACAAACCAAAUUUCCCAUUUGAAAGGAUGGAAUAUAGGAAAUUUCUAGUAUCUGUUUUAUAGUGUUAUAUUUUCUUAUAUUUUUCCAUUAAGCAUCUAUUUUGUAAUGUAUACAAAAAAGGAAAAAGAUGAAUUUAUGAAAUAAAAUAGUUGGAUCAAAUAUAGGAAAUGUAUAUAACUAUAUUACAAACUCCUCCAAAUGAAUGACAAGCAUCAAAACAGAAAAACAGGUGAGUAUAAAAAACAAACAACUGAUAAAAAAAGAAACAACUGAUCAACAGCAUGAGAAGAAAAUCUCAUUCUCAUUGAUAAUUAAACAAAUCCAAGCAAAAUAUUGAUACAACAUUUUCAAAUCCAUUAACUUGGCAGAAAUUUAAAAUAUAAUGACCAGCAGGCAGUGGCUAUUGGUAUAGACCAUUUUGUUUGUUGCUGGAGACCAAUACUGAUGGAUAUACGUUUCUGGUAAUCCAUAUCAAAAACACCCACAAUGUGGGGAAGACAUUGUAUGGGAGACUAAGCCACUGCUUGGGACACUGGCAUCACACUAUGCCUGGUUCAAGUCUCUGCUGCUCUGCUUUGGAUGCAGAUUCCUGCUAAUGCAUCUGGGAAGUAGCAGGUGCUGGCCCAAGUGUGCAAGUUCCUGAUAUCAAUGUGGAGGCUCCAGAUGGACUUCUGGAUCCCGGCUUCAGACUGGCCCAGCCCCAGCUGCAGCAGCCAUUUGGGGAGGGUGCCAUGAUGGGUGGAAGACUGGGGGCUGGAGAGAAGACCUGCUUUAUAACAACCCAUUCUUGAGUUGUCUAAUCCAUUUCCAGAAGAUUUUACUCACUCCCUCAAGAACCCAGUCUCUCAAGAAAUGCCAGGGUAUAGACCGGCACCGUGGCUCACUAGGCUAAUCCUCCACCUGCUGUGCUGGCACCCCGAGUUCUAGUCCCGGUUGGGGCACCGGAUUCUGUCCCAGUUGCUCCUCUUCCAGUCCAACUCUCUGCUGUGGCCUGGGAAGGCAGUAGAGGAUGGCCCAGGUCCUUGGGCCCUGCACCCACAUGGGAGACCAGGAAGAAGCACCUGGCUCCCGGCUUCGGAUUGGCACAGCGCACCAGCUACAGCAUGCCAGCCGUAGCGGCCAUUUUGGGGGUGAACCAACGGAAAAGGAAGACCUUUGUCUCUGUCUCUCUCUCUCUAACUCUGCCGGCAAAAAAAAAAAAAUAAUAAUAAUAAUAAUAAUAAUAACAGGGUAUCAACUGGCACCAUAAUAUAGAAUACCAGCAUUGUAACAGGUGGCUAAACCCACUGAGCCACAACACUAGCCCCUACAUCUCAGUUUUAAAGGUAGGAAAAGGGGGACUGCGUUGUGAUGUAAGGUGGGGUAAGCUCCAUUUGUGAGCCCAUAUCAGAGUGUGCUGUUCCACCUCCCAUCCAGCUCCCUGCUAAUGCAGUGAUGGUAGCCCAAAUACAUGGGUCCCAGUAACCCACAUGGGACUCAGAUGGAGCUCUAGGCUCCUGGCUUUGGCCCAGCCCAGCCCUGGCCAUUGCAGCCAUUCGGGGAGUGAACCAACAGAAGAUAUCCCCCACCCCUGAUCACUCUGCCUUUCAAAUAAACAAAAUAAAGUUUUUAAGGCAGAGAAAUGUGAUGACCUGUAGAAGUUUCCUAGAAAAAAAAGUUUAAAACUUUACAGUCUUAAACAAAUAUAACAGGUAUUCCAGGAUAGCUGAGAAGGGAAAAGAUGUACUGCUUUAGGCGAUGGGAAAAUAGAAAAAAAGUGGAGGAGGUGCAUUCCCAGGGGAGAGUUGGAGAGAAAUCUGCAGUGGAAAUUCUACAGAAGGAAGAGGGAUGCACAGCAAUGAGUUAAGACACAACACAUGAUCGCCACAGCCAAGAGCUGGAGGAUACAGCAGCUUUGGAGAGAGGUGAAGAGUAGACUGCAGCAGCCCAUGACGCUGCUGGAGGGAGAGCCUUGAAGACCACACUGCCUGAGUCUGGCCUGGAGCCCUAAAGGGAAUCAAGGUACCCACCUAACCCAGUGAUUAAAAAAAAAAAAAAAAAGAAAGGCAUGUUUCUUUCUCCUGAUCCCUGCGUAAGGGCACCAUUUUGAAGCCAGUAGCAGCAGUGGCUCUUGUGCACACAUGUGAUCUGGGGAUUUUAAAAGAGGGAAAAAUCCUCAUUCCCCACUGACUUUGAGUCUGGCUGAGAGGUCUGACAGAACACUGGGCACCCACGUAGGACUGUGAGGUGCCCUGAGCCUCUCAACAUAUCACGGACUAUGGAGCUCAAACCACCAAGGCAGAGCACCCACAGGCAGCUGGCUCUGGGAAGGUCUCUGCUCUCUCCGUGCACAUGACAGGCUAGUGGGGAGGAGUGGAUCCUCUGCACCCCAUCACUGUGGGAGCCUUGGGCACUGUGACUGUGGGAACCCUGUGACUGCACAAGCUGGUCUCUGGGCAAUCACUGUGUCCCAUGACAGAGGCUCAGAACUCCCUGGUUGCCUAGGGUUGGUCAUUGCAGCAGGAUCUCUGCUCACACAAAUGACUGCGCAGAUCCUUAUGCAGUUUAUGUAGUAGCAUGGGUGAGUGCUGCACCCACUGCAGGCUAACCACAGGCAUCCAUCAUCUUGGAAGAGAGAUCAGGGUAUGAUUACACAAACAGAGGUGAUCAUACCCUACCCUCUGCCAAGCACAGAGGAGCUCUACCACACCCACUUGGAUGUCACCCCAGAUACUGGCAGACACUGGAGCACUGGCCAUGCCUAGCACAUGUCUCUGGGGAUUCACUGAGAGCAGGCACUCCACUAAGCCUCAGAGGCAUAGUUCAAAGAUAAAAUCCAUCAGGGGAGGAAACCAACAAGUACUUCCACAAAUGCCUAAAAAUAAACAGAAAUUCAAGAAACAAGAAUAAGAAAGACAAUAUAACUUCCCCCAAAAGAACACAACAAUGUGAAGAUGAAGAGAUUGAUGAAAUGCCUGAAUAAAUAUUCAAGAGAUUGAUAAUAGGAUUACUUAGAAGCAAUGAGAAGCAAAUUCAUGAGUUAAAGAAAUCCAUACAUGACAUGGAAAAAAAAAUUUCCCAAGAAAUUGACAUUAUGAAGAGAAAUCAAACUGAAAUAUUAGAAAUGAAGAAUUCGGGCCGGCGCCGCAGCUCACUAGGCUAAUCCUCCAUCUUGAGGCGCCGGCACACCGGAUUCUAGUCCUGGUCGGGGCGCCGGAUUCUGUCCCAGUUGCCCCUCUUCCAGGCCAGCUCUCUGCUGUGGCCAGGGAGUGCAGUGGAUGAUGGCCCAAGUACUUGGGCCCUGCACCCCAUGGGAGACCAGGAGAAGUACCUGGCUCCUGCCACUGGAUCAGCACGGUGCGCCGGCCGCAGCGUGCCAGCCGCAGCGGCCAUUGGAGGGUGAACCAACGGCAAAAGGAAGACCUUUCUCUCUGUCUCUCUCUCUCACUGUCCACUCUGCCUGUCAAAAAAAAAAAAAAAAAAAUGAAGAAUUCAAUAGAGCAAAUUUAAAAAGUGGUAGAAAACGCAACAAAUUUGGUGAGACAGAAGAAAUAAUAUCUGUUCUAGAAGACAAAUCUUCAGAAAAUUUUAAUUCAGACCCAAAAAAGAGAAUAAAUUAGAAAACAUUUUUUAAAUGUUCAAGAUCUAUGUGAUACUAUCAGAUGACCUAACAUAUGGUUCUUAGGAGUUCCUGACAGUGUGGAAAGAGAAUGGAUUAAAAGGCCUAUUCAGUGAAAUAAUUACAAAAAACUUCCCUAAUUUGGAGAAAGAAAGGGACAUUCAAGUACAGGAAGCAAACAGAACUCAGUACACAUGACCACAAAAGAUCUUCACCGUGACACAUUAUAGUCAAAUUUUCAAUGGUAAAAAAUAAAGAAACUAUUCUAAAAUAUGCAGAGAGAAAUGCCAGAUUAUGUUCAGAGGAUCUCCAAUUAGACUCAAAGCUGAUUUCUCAUCAUAAACCCUACAGCCUAGGAGAGAAUGGAGAGAUAUAGUCCAGGUCUUAAAAGAAAAACACUGUCAGGGCCAGCGCUGUGGUGUAGUGGAAACCGAAAGAAUUUGUCACUUGUUCAGCCUUACAAAGGAUGCUUAAGGAUGUGCUACACACAGAAACAUAGAAAGACAGUUAUCAUUAUGAAAGAAUGUGAAGGCAGAAAAUAUCCCAGUAAAAGUACAAAGGAAAUCCAAAGCAAAAAAUAGGACUAUUUACCGAAAAAUGGCAGGCCCAAGUUAUUAGUUAUCAAUAAUAACCUUGAAUGUAAAUGGCCUAAAUUCUCCAAUUAAAAGACACAGACCAGCUGAAUGGAUUAAAAAAUAAGACCCAUCAACUUGCUGCCUACAAGAAACACACCUCAUCAACAAAGAUACACAAAGACUGAAAGUUAAAGGAUGGAAAAAGAUAUUUCACACUAACAGAAAGCAAAAAUAAGCAGGUGUAGCCAUCUUAAUAUCAGACAAAAUAGACUUUAACACAAAAACUUAAAAGAGACUGAGAUGGGCACUAUAUAAUGAUUAAGGGAUGGAUUCAACAGGAAGAUGUCACUUUAAUAAAUGUAUAUACCUAAUGCCAGGGUGCCUGGCUAUUUAAAAGAAAUGUUAAUGGAUCUAAAGGUAGAUAUAGACUCCAAUAUGAUAGUAAUGGGCUGGGGCUGGCGCUGUGGUGUAGCAGGUAAAGCCCCCACUUUCAGUGCCAGUAUCCCAGAUGGGUGCCGGUUCGAGUCCCAGCUGCUCCACUUCUGAUCCAGCUCUCUGCUAUGGCCUGGGAAAGCAGCAGAAGAUGGACCAAGUCCUUCGACCCCUGCACCCAUGUGGAAGACCUAGAAGAAGCUCCUGGCUCCUGGCUUCAGAUCGGCACUGUUCCAGCCCUUGCAGCCAUCUGGGGAGUACACCAGUGGAUGGAAGACCUCUCUCUCUCUCUCUCUGCCUCUCCUUUCUCUGUGUAACUCUUUCAAAUAAAAAUAAAAUAUUUUUUUUAAAAAAAUAUUACUGGGGAACUUCAAACACCCUACUUUCAUCAAUGGACAGAUUAACUACACAGAAAAUCAACAAAGAAACAACAGAGCUAAUCUACACUAUGUACCAUUUGGAACUGAUAUCUAUAGAACCUUUCAUACCACGGUUGCAGAAUACACAUUGUUUUUAUCAGUGCAUGGAAUUUCUCUAGGAUAGACCAUAUGCUAGGU
This is a non-coding RNA of Oryctolagus cuniculus (rabbit), 25084 nucleotides long. The record is from RefSeq and is a predicted model, not a curated record. NCBI's taxonomy places the organism in Eukaryota, Metazoa, Chordata, Mammalia, Lagomorpha, Leporidae.